GCCGAGGUAGCAAAGCCUGGACUAACGCGCCAGCCUGGAAAGCUGGUGGUCUUCACGGACCGCAGGGGUUCAAAUCCCCUCCUCGGCG
RNAcentral lists this transfer RNA (88 nucleotides) under Candidatus Undinarchaeales archaeon. RNAcentral describes it as "tRNA-Ser". It matches the Rfam family "tRNA". From Rfam's summary of the family: Transfer RNA (tRNA) molecules are approximately 80 nucleotides in length. The record is from RNAcentral. Lineage: Archaea; Nanobdellati; Candidatus Undinarchaeota; Candidatus Undinarchaeia; Candidatus Undinarchaeales.